Molecule: ribosomal RNA, 563 nt
Filed under: uncultured bacterium
Lineage: Bacteria
Description: bacterial SSU rRNA
Rfam family: Bacterial small subunit ribosomal RNA
Source: RNAcentral
CCUACGGGAGGCAGCAGUGGGGAAUAUUGGACAAUGGGCGAAAGCCUGAUCCAGCAAUGCCGCGUGAGUGAUGAAGGCCUUAGGGUUGUAAAGCUCUUUUACCAGGGAUGAUAAUGACAGUACCUGGAGAAUAAGCUCCGGCUAACUCCGUGCCAGCAGCCGCGGUAAUACGGAGGGAGCUAGCGUUGUUCGGAAUUACUGGGCGUAAAGCGUACGUAGGCGGUUAUUCAAGUCAGAGGUGAAAGCCUGGAGCUCAACUUCAGAACUGCCUUUGAAACUAGAUAGCUAGAAUCUUGGAGAGGUGAGUGGAAUUCCGAGUGUAGAGGUGAAAUUCGUAGAUAUUCGGAAGAACACCAGUGGCGAAGGCGACUCACUGGACAAGUAUUGACGCUGAGGUACGAAAGCGUGGGGAGCAAACAGGAUUAGAUACCCUGGUAGUCCACGCCGUAAACGAUGAUAACUAGCUGUUCGGGCUCUACGAGCUUGAGUGGCGCAGCUAACGCAUUAAGUUAUCCGCCUGGGGAGUACGGUCGCGAAGAAUUAAAACUCAAAAGAAUUGACGG